Molecule: long non-coding RNA, 447 nt
Filed under: Numida meleagris (helmeted guineafowl)
Lineage: Eukaryota; Metazoa; Chordata; Aves; Galliformes; Numididae
Description: lncRNA (ENSNMEG00000008542.1)
Source: RNAcentral
ACUAUUUAUUGAACUACAUAACUCCAAAAGAACUUGGAUCUGGGCUACAGGCUGUUGAGCUCAAUGGCAAAUGACUCACCAGGAAAUCCUCCUCAGCUCAUCUUCCAGGUGCUGAAAGUGGAGGGUCAGGAACGCUGUGUCAGCACCAGCAAUGUAAACACGCUUCUUGACGUACCACUGAGGACAGAUCAUACCGGUGCGCUUUGUAACACCAAGGCUCUCUCUUCUGGCUAAUAAAUGUAACCUGAUCAAUCUGUCCUCCCAAGUCGCGUUUUCUGGAUUUCCAACGCCGCUUUCUAUUUUGACAAUGAACCAUUGAUAACUGUUCUCCAGGUACAUAUAUCCAAAGCCUUGUCCCCCGCCUCCAACAGUUUUAUCUAGGCCCAUGUUUCCCUCACCUGAUUAGGAAAGUGAAUAUGAGACAGUGUCAAAGCCUGCAAGCGCCAG